Molecule: long non-coding RNA, 943 nt
Filed under: Homo sapiens (human)
Lineage: Eukaryota; Metazoa; Chordata; Mammalia; Primates; Hominidae
Description: HSALNT0345226
Source: RNAcentral
CUCUAUUCGGGGAGGCUGCAGCCCAGCGGGAGGGAGCUGAAGCUGACUCUCCUGGCGAGCCGAGGCCGCACUCACGCUCUGCAGCCCAGAGACUGCAGGGCGGGGACUCUGAGCCUGGCUGGUCCUGGGUUCUCUUUCAGGCCCCUGGCCUGGGACUGUGGAUGGGAGGGGGGCAGGUGCAAUGGCUCCUGUCACUGGGCUGACUUGCAUGCAGGAAGGAGACAGCAAGAUGAGUCCAUCUGAGCCAGGCCUCCAGGGAUCCUCCCUGCCAGGGGCUCCUGUGCCCCCUGGGGAAUGAUUGCAUCUUGGAACUGAGGAGGUUCUGGAAGCUGUACACCCAAGGAAGACAUUCUGUGCCGGAGAGAGAGUGGGAGAGAUGUGACUGCUGCUGGCUGGGUGAGGACAGGCCCAGAGGACAGCAUCACUGGCACCCACCCCUGCAUUUGGGUCCUCUGCACCUCAGCUCCCAGCAUCUGGGCCUCCUCCCUGCCUGCCUCCCCCCCUCACUCAAUCUGUCUCCACUCAAGAGGCUGAUGGGCAGGUCUCCCUGCUUCUUCAAAUCUUUCAAAGGGAAACUUCACAAAGACAGGAGCCCUGACCCAUCCACCUUGGCCUCACCCCACCCCAGCACGGAAGCCAGGCGGCCAGUGGAGGCCGGUAGUGCUGAAUGGACAUGGGGCUGGAUGAAAAGACUUCCGCCUGCCUCUCUCAGCCCCGGAAUCGCCAUGAGCUGCUAUUCCGGAGAUUCUAUGCUACAGAAGUACAAGGUGAAGAAUGCAUACCGAUUACAUUGGCAAGGGAGAGAAGAGCCUGGUGCUAGCACUUUUGCUUCUUUGGUCUUUCAAUAAUGUCUUUCCCCUUGAUUAUACAUGAUAUAUUCCUAUUUUGGAAACUUCGAAAACUAUAAAAAAGUCAAAAGAAUAAUAUUACCACUCAGAAAUAA